Molecule: ribosomal RNA, 435 nt
Filed under: Triticum aestivum (bread wheat)
Lineage: Eukaryota; Viridiplantae; Streptophyta; Magnoliopsida; Poales; Poaceae
Description: partial small subunit ribosomal RNA
Source: RNAcentral
AUGGCAGAUAAUGGUAAAGCAAAAUUAGGCUCAGGAGCAGCCUAUACAACCAAUCUAGAGACCUUCAGUAAGCGGCUUAAGGUGUUUUAUGACCAUUGGAACGAAAAUAAGUCUCAUCUUUGGGCUUCUUCCGAUGCCAUUGCAAUUGUGACUCCCCCUCCUUCUGAGGAUCUCCGUCAUUUGAAAUCCACAGCUCUGGAUGUUUGGUUACUUGGAUAUGAUGAAUUUCCAGAAACGAUAAUUGUCUUCAUGCAGAAGCAGAUACAUUUCUUAUGCAGCGAGAAGAAAGCAAAUCUUAUUGGAACCAUCAAGGAUGCUACUGCAAGUGAGGCUGUUGGUUCUGAUAUUGUCUUGCAUGUGAAAAGCAAGAAUGGGGAUGGCAUUGACCUGAUGGAUGAUAAUACUGUGUGCUGUUUGUGCUCAGUCGAAAUCUGA